This 264-nucleotide ribosomal RNA is filed under the name uncultured archaeon. RNAcentral's name for it is "partial 16S ribosomal RNA". It matches the Rfam family "Archaeal small subunit ribosomal RNA", at positions 714 to 982 of the family's 1478-position model. The record is from RNAcentral.
AGACGUCUACAUUAGAUACCCCCGUAGUCCCGGCCGUAAACUAUGUGCGUUAGGUGUAUCGGUGACCACGAGUCACCGAGGUGCCGAAGGGAAACCGUGAAACGUGCCGCCUGGGAAGUACGGUCGCAAGGCUGAAACUUAAAGGAAUUGGCGGGGAGCACCACAACGGGUGGAGCCUGCGGUUUAAUUGGACUCAACGCCGGGAAGCUCACCGGAUAAGACAGCGGAAUGAUUGCCGGGCUGAAGACUCUGCAUGACUAGCUG